RNAcentral lists this transfer RNA (64 nucleotides) under Conus consors. RNAcentral's name for it is "tRNA-Phe". The record is from RNAcentral. Lineage: Eukaryota; Metazoa; Mollusca; Gastropoda; Neogastropoda; Conidae.
CCUUGAUAGCUUAAAUAAGAGCAUAGCACUGAAGAUGCUAAGGUAACAACCAUGUUUCGGGGUG